This 833-nucleotide ribosomal RNA is filed under the name uncultured bacterium. RNAcentral describes it as "bacterial SSU rRNA". It matches the Rfam family "Bacterial small subunit ribosomal RNA", at positions 9 to 847 of the family's 1533-position model. The record is from RNAcentral.
GAGUUUGAUCCUGGCUCAGGACGAACGCUGGCGGCGUGCUUAACACAUGCAAGUCGAGCGGUAAGGCCCUUUCGGGGGUACACGAGCGGCGAACGGGUGAGUAACACGUGGGUAACCUGCCCUCAGCUCUGGGAUAAGCCCGGGAAACUGGGUCUAAUACCGGAUAUGACUCCGCAUCGCAUGGUGUGGGGUGGAAAGCCUUGUGCGGCUGAGGAUGGGCCCGCGGCCUAUCAGCUUGUUGGUGGGGUAGCGGCCUACCAAGGCGACGACGGGUAGCCGGCCUGAGAGGGCGACCGGCCACACUGGGACUGAGACACGGCCCAGACUCCUACGGGAGGCAGCAGUGGGGAAUAUUGCGCAAUGGGCGAAAGCCUGACGCAGCGACGCCGCGUGAGGGAUGACGGCCUUCGGGUUGUAAACCUCUUUCAGCUCCGACGAAGCCUUCGGGUGACGGUAGGGGCAGAAGAAGCACCGGCCAACUACGUGCCAGCAGCCGCGGUAAUACGUAGGGUGCAAGCGUUGUCCGGAAUUAUUGGGCGUAAAGAGCUCGUAGGCGGUUUGUCGCGUCGACUGUGAAAACUCAGGGGCUCAACUCCGAGCUUGCAGUUGAUACGGGCAGACUAGAGUUCGGCAGGGGAGACUGGAAUUCCUGGUGUAGCGGUGAAAUGCGCAGAUAUCAGGAGGAACACCGGUGGCGAAAGCGGGUCUCUGGGCCGAUACUGACGCUGAAGAGCGAAAGCGUGGGGAGCGAACAGGAUUAGAUACCCUGGUAGUCCACGCCGUAAAACGUUGGGCCGCUAGGUGUGGGGGUCCCUUUCCACGGGUUCCGUGCC